CCCUCAGCUCCAACUCUGCUGUGACUUGUCUAAAACUGUAAUUCUAUUUUCUUUUGUUUUCUUUAUUGCUUGUUUAAAAAAAAAAGACAACUUUAUUUAGUAACUCUAUCACCCCUUUCUGUACCCCUUCAAGUUCCCUCCUGUAUUUAUUUUUAUUUUUUUUCUGCUCAUUUCUACCAGGAGUGUUUUCAAAGUGGGGUUUUGGGUAGUAAAACUUCUGAGGCUGCUUCAUAGGUGAUACACUUUGAUUUGUGAUUCCUACUCUACCCUUAAAAACGAUUCAAUGGAAUAAUCUUCUGCCCCAGUCAGCUCUCACUGUUCACUUCCUUGUAGGUCAGAGUGCAAUAGGCCCUUUGAAAUCAUAAUCUCAAUGCUUGUAUUUGAAUGUGUCCACUCCCAGAAAUGAAUCACAAUGACAAAUCUGGAUUAGUGUCAAGCCUUCCCCAACUCUCAUUUUGAGCCGUUUGGCUCUGAAGCCAGCAAUGGCAUGAAGGGUAUGGCUGGAUUCUUCAUUCCUCCAUCUGUCCUCCACCUGGGGAACUCUGGCUUUCAAUCUCCUUGCUGCUUUCUGUUUUGAUUUCCCCCAAGUUCUCAGGUAGAAGAGGAAGACAGAGGAGGGAUAAAGAUAGAAAUGGGCCAGAUGACCCCUUCAGUAUAUUGGUAUUCUCCAGUCAACAACCUCAAAACUCAUCAAACAGUAUGAAAAGAGAAAGGAAGGUCAGAGACGAAGGCCUGGAUGAGCAAAGAGGGCUACAACUUCUCAAUAACAUGAGCAAUGGAAUUCCUUUCUCCUAGUCCAAACAGAAGACAUAGUCAUAAAGCAAACCAUGUUUUAUUAUAUAUAUAACUUUAGGCUUGAUCCAAAAAGGAUUUGAGUCUGUGUACAGCAAGGGCCAGGGGUAUGGAAAUUCACUAAAAAUAAACAGUAAAGCAGAAUCGUAAGAAUAAGAAAAAGGGAAAGACUGGGAACUUCGCAGGAUAAUAUAAUUCUCCUCGACAUGGUGGAGGAUCAUAUUGGACUCUGAGUUUUCCAGCAGUGGCAAAUAUGGGAGUAUACAAUUCUAUAGCUCUUAUUAUGUGAGCAGCAAAAACUCUAAUAAAAGUUGAUUAAAGAAGAUAAAAGUCUUUGUGGGGAUUAUUGUACUUCUACUUUGUUGGGUUUUUCUUUUCCUUUUUCCCCUGGGGCUGUAUUUUUAAAUAAACACCUGAUUUAGGACUUGACAUAACGAACAUUGAAAAGCAGAAAGGACAAAGUCCCUCUCCUUUGGAGUGUGAGCUUUCUGGGGAGGGACCACGGUAUUCUUCAUUUUCAGAUCCUAGAGUACAGGGAUAUGACUGGGUAGAAGCUCACAAAUGAGUGCUGGAUGAAUGAAUCAGCGUAUCACAGACCGAUUGAUUGUAGUCCUAACAGCAAAUACCAAAGCAAACUUCAUACAACUAAUGCUGAUAACAAUGCUUGCAAACACCUCAGUAUGUGCUCUUAAAGAGCAGAUCAGUGAAGGUAAGGAAUGUGACCCAAGUUAAAAGGCUUUCAUUCAUCUCAUUUUGAGUGAAUAGAAGUAGACCAUAGGAGAGGCAGCACCAAUAUUCAGCCUGAUCAUGCCAGCAUGGCUGACCCAUUUGUUUGUAGUCAGAGUCCAUUGUAAUUGGUUGAUGGAUGUUGACUAUUCUGAAUAUCCACUGCAGAGGAGGAGGGUGUACCAUUCUUUGCUUGAACUCUUUUCAUGAAUUCACUUCUUUCAUUUUAAACUAUUUUUAAAAUAAUAGAAACCUUGAAUGCCACUAUAUUUGCCACUGU
Long non-coding RNA from Callithrix jacchus (white-tufted-ear marmoset), 1798 nucleotides. The record is from Ensembl. Lineage: Eukaryota; Metazoa; Chordata; Mammalia; Primates; Cebidae.